UAUUGAUAGAGGCGCAGCUUUCAAGAGUAACCGCAGGUCAAAGGGGACGUAUUUCCGCGGUGAAAGGGGACGCUGCCGAAGUGUGCCGGACUUGUCCGAGACGGUAUGCUGGGUCGUUGCAGAAUAUGUAACGGACUGUCACUUGUGUGGAGAGCUAUCGG
RNAcentral lists this non-coding RNA (161 nucleotides) under human gut metagenome. RNAcentral describes it as "Lysine riboswitch". It matches the Rfam family "Lysine riboswitch aptamer". From Rfam's summary of the family: Riboswitches are metabolite binding domains within certain messenger RNAs that serve as precision sensors for their corresponding targets. Allosteric rearrangement of mRNA structure is mediated by ligand binding, and this results in modulation of gene expression. The record is from RNAcentral.